AUCCUAGUAGCUCAGUGGUUGGAGUUUCAGACUUCCAACUCUAAGGUACUCGGGUUCGAAUCCUGAGCAAUGACA
RNAcentral lists this transfer RNA (75 nucleotides) under Sphenostylis stenocarpa. Its description in RNAcentral is "tRNA gene-AYBTSS11_LOCUS14324". Lineage: Eukaryota; Viridiplantae; Streptophyta; Magnoliopsida; Fabales; Fabaceae. The record is from RNAcentral.